GUUGUGUGCAAGUGGUAGGAGAGCGUUCUAUUUGCGUCGAAGGUAUACCGGUAAGGAGUGCUGGAGCGAAUAGAAGUGAGCAUGCAGGCAUGAGUAGCGAUAAUUAAUGUGAGAAUCAUUAACGCCGUAAACCCAAGGUUUCCUACGCGAUGCUCGUCAUCGUAGGGUUAGUCGGGUCCUAAGUCGAGUCCGAAAGGGGUAGACGAUGGCAAAUUGGUUAAUAUUCCAAUACCAACAUUAGUGUGCGAUGGAAGGACGCUUAGGGCUAAGGGGGCUAGCGGAUGGAAGUGCUAGUCUAAGGUCGUAGGAGGUUAUACAGGCAAAUCCGUAUAACAAUACUCCGAGAACUGAAAGGCUUUUUGAAGUCUUCGGAUGGAUAGAAGAACCCCUGAUGCCGUCGAGCCAAGAAAAGUUUCUAAGUUUAGCUAAUGUUGCCCGUACCGUAAACCGACACAGGUGGGUGGGAUGAGUAUUCUAAGGCGCGUGGAAGAACUCUCUUUAAGGAACUCUGCAAAAUAGCACCGUAUCUUCGGUAUAAGGUGUGGUUAGCCUUGUAUUAGGAUUUACUCCGAAAGCAAGGAAACUUACAACAAAGAGUCCCUCCCGACUGUUUACCAAAAACACAGCACUCUGCUAACUCGUAAGAGGAUGUAUAGGGUGUGACGCCUGCCCGGUGCUCGAAGGUUAAUUGAUGGGGUUAGCAUUAGCGAAGCUCUUGAUCGAAGCCCGAGUAAACGGCGGCCGUAACUAUAACGGUCCUAAGGUAGCGAAAUUCCUUGUCGGUUAAAUACCGACCUGCAUGAAUGGCGUAACGAGAUGGGAGCUGUCUCAAAGAGGGAUCCAGUGAAAUUGUAGUGGAGGUGAAAAUUCCUCCUACCCGCGGCAAGACGGAAAGACCCCGUGGACCUUUACUACAGCUUGACACUGCUACUUGGAUAAGAAUGUGCAGGAUAGGUGGGAGGCUUUGAGUAUAUGACGCCAGUUGUAUAUGAGCCAUUGUUGAGAUACCACUCUUUCUUAUUUGGGUAGCUAACCAGCUUGAGUUAUCCUCAAGUGGGACAAUGUCUGGUGGGUAGUUUGACUGGGGCGGUCGCCUCCCAAAUAAUAACGGAGGCUUACAAAGGUUGGCUCAGAACGGUUGGAAAUCGUUCGUAGAGUAUAAAGGUAUAAGCCAGCUUAACUGCAAGACAUACAAGUCAAGCAGAGACGAAAGUCGGUCUUAGUGAUCCGGUGGUUCUGUGUGGAAGGGCCAUCGCUCAAAGGAUAAAAGGUACCCCGGGGAUAACAGGCUGAUCUCCCCCAAGAGCUCACAUCGACGGGGAGGUUUGGCACCUCGAUGUCGGCUCAUCGCAUCCUGGGGCUGGAGCAGGUCCCAAGGGUAUGGCUGUUCGCCAUUUAAAGCGGUACGCGAGCUGGGUUCAGAACGUCGUGAGACAGUUCGGUCCCUAUCUGCCGUGGGCGUAAGAAGAUUGAAGAGAUUUGACCCUAGUACGAGAGGACCGGGUUGAACAAACCACUGGUGUAGCUGUUGUUCUGCCAAGAGCAUCGCAGCGUAGCUAAGUUUGGAAAGGAUAAACGCUGAAAGCAUCUAAGCGUGAAGCCAACUCUAAGAUGAAUCUUCUCUAAGCUCUCUAGAAGACUACUAGUUUGAUAGGCUGGGUGUGUAAUGGAUGAAAGUCCUUUAGCUGACCAGUACUAAUAGAGCGUUUGGCUUAUCUUUAAUAAAGCAU
This 1730-nucleotide ribosomal RNA is filed under the name Campylobacter jejuni. RNAcentral's name for it is "partial 23S ribosomal RNA". It matches the Rfam family "Bacterial large subunit ribosomal RNA", at positions 1214 to 2925 of the family's 2925-position model. Lineage: Bacteria; Pseudomonadati; Campylobacterota; Epsilonproteobacteria; Campylobacterales; Campylobacteraceae. The record is from RNAcentral.